Molecule: ribosomal RNA, 500 nt
Filed under: uncultured bacterium
Lineage: Bacteria
Description: partial 16S ribosomal RNA
Rfam family: Bacterial small subunit ribosomal RNA
Source: RNAcentral
AUUGAACGCUGGCGGCAUGCCUUACACAUGCAAGUCGAACGGCAGCACGGGAGCAAUCCUGGUGGCGAGUGGCGAACGGGUGAGUAAAGUAUCGGAACGUGCCCAGUCGUGGGGGAUAACGUAGCGAAAGUUACGCUAAUACCGCAUACGAUCUAUGGAUGAAAGCGGGGGAUCGCAAGACCUCGCGCGAUUGGAGCGGCCGAUAUCAGAUGAGGUAGUUGGUGGGGUAAAGGCUCACCAAGCCGACGAUCUGUAGCUGGUCUGAGAGGACGACCAGCAGCACUGGGACUGAGACACGGCCCAGACUCCUACGGGAGGCAGCAGUGGGGAAUUUUGGACAAUGGGCGAAAGCCUGAUCCAGCCAUGCCGCGUGCAGGAUGAAGGCCUUCGGGUUGUAAACUGCUUUUGUACGGAACGAAAAGGUUUGGCCUAAUAAGCUGAGCUCAUGACGGUACCGUAAGAAUAAGCACCGGCUAACUACGUGCCAGCCGCCGCCGUAA